CCUACGGGUGGCUGCAGUGGGGAAUAUUGGACAAUGGGCGCAAGCCUGAUCCAGCCAUACCGCGUGGGUGAAGAAGGCCUUCGGGUUGUAAAGCCCUUUUGUUGGGAAAGAAAUCCUGCCGGUUAAUAGCCAGUAGGGAUGACGGUACCCAAAGAAUAAGCACCGGCUAACUUCGUGCCAGCAGCCGCGGUAAUACGAAGGGUGCAAGCGUUACUCGGAAUUACUGGGGGUAAAGCGUGCGGAGUGGCGUGAAAGCCCUGGGCUCAACCUGGGAAUUGCGAUGGAUACUGGGCGACUAGAGUGUGGUAGAGGAUAGUGGAAUUUCCGGUGUAGCAGUGAAAUGCGUAGAGAUCGGAAGGAACAUCUGUGGCGAAGGCGACUAUCUGGGCCAACACUGACACUGAGGCACGAAAGCGUGGGGAGCAAACAGGAUUAGAUACCCGAGUAGUC
This 450-nucleotide ribosomal RNA is filed under the name uncultured bacterium. Its description in RNAcentral is "partial 16S ribosomal RNA". It matches the Rfam family "Bacterial small subunit ribosomal RNA", at positions 338 to 795 of the family's 1533-position model. The record is from RNAcentral.